Molecule: non-coding RNA, 1552 nt
Organism: Candidatus Ryanbacteria bacterium
Lineage: Bacteria; Candidatus Ryaniibacteriota
Source: Rfam
UGUCGGCUCGUCUUAUCCUGGUGGUGGAGAAGCUACCAAGGGUUUGGCUGUUCGCCAAUUAAAAAGGCACGCGAGCUGGGUUCAGACCGUCAACGAAAAAACCCAUAAAAAGAAAUCGAGAACACACGGCGGCUUUCGCAAGUAAUUGCGAUCGAAAAACCGACUCAUAUCGGUGGAUUCCUUUCAUAGACUAACAACCUGUCAUAUGUUAGGAUAAUACCGAGGGAAGUCGUGUAUGAUUAAAUCACUUUCACCAACCAAGAAAGCCUAUAUUGCAGGAUUCCUCGAUGGCGACGGAAGUAUUUAUGUACGUGCGAAACCAAAUUCAACCUAUCGGUAUGGAUUUCAGAUUUCACCGUACAUUGUUCUCUUCCAGUCAGUAAAAAGUAAAGAGGAUUUCUCCAAAGUUACCAAAUUGAUAGGUAUAGGAUACAUGAGAGAGCGCAAAGAUGGAAUUCUUGAAUAUAUCAUCAAUCGAGUUGAAGGGAUUAAGGAAUUUCUAGAAGCAGUAGGCCCAUUUGUAAUCUUAAAGAAGAAGCAAGUGAUGCUUAUGCUCCAGAUUAUUUCCAAAAAAAGUAAGGUGGAAAAGGAAAGUGAUUUUAAGAUUCUUCUCGGAUUAGUUGAUUCUUAUCGAGAAUUAAAUUAUUCAAAAAGAAGGAUAAAUCGUACAUUGACCCCGUAGAGACUUGUUCCAAUAAAACGGGACAGAUUUAAUCAUGCUGAUUGAAUAACACGUCGGUCUCCUUCGUAGCUUUAUGCGAAGAAGGAUGGUGGUAUAGUCCAAUCCCAUCAGUAAUGAUGGAAAGAAGAAAAUGCGUGAGACAGGUUGGUCUCCUAUCUGCAGCAGGCGCUUGAUUCUUGAGGGGAGUCUUUCCUAGUGAAGAUUCGCUACUUUCCGAAGUAAUUCGGAUUGAAAAUUUGGCUUAUAACGGUGAAGCCUUCACACAUAUUCUGUUCAGUGGAUAAUUAGUUUGCCUUGGUCCGCAAAUUAGUUGAUAAUUGCUUGAGGACCAGAAUAUGUCGUAAGGUAAUACCGUGGGAAGUCAAUGAAAAUUCAAAAUUGAAAAAUCAAAAUGCAAAAUGACAAUGUAAAAUAAAAAAUUUUUUACAUUUUGAAUUGUAGUUUUUAUUUUUACACUUUACAUUUUGAAUUUUUGUUUGACCCCGUAACGACUGAAUUUCUCCGGUAACACCGGAGAAUGAAGAUGGCAGUGUAACUCUUUUCUUAUGGGACACUGGCUGCCAUAAUAUGCCGACUCCUUCGUCGCUUUACGCGAAAAAGGAUGAAGAUAUAGUCUGCUCUGUUAGAAAUAAUAGAAUACGUGACGAGAGGACCGGAAAGAACUGACCUCUGGUCUACCAGCUGUCCCGCCCGGGGCAACGCUGGGUAGCUAUGUCGGGAAUGGAUAACUGCUGAAAGCAUCUAAGCGGGAAGCCAACCCCAAGAUAAGGAAUCAUGGAUCCCUCGAAGACUACGAGGUUGAUAGGCUCUAGGUGUAAGCGCAGUAAUGCGUUCAGCCGAGGAGUACUAAUAGAUUCUACAGACACCAUU